CGUUGUUGCAGUUAAAAAGCUCGUAGUUUAAAUGAAGGGUAGUUGUGUAAUGAAUACAUUCGUGUAUUUUGUUAUUCUACUACCCUCCUUCUAAAUUCGAUAUAUGAGUAUUAAUUUACUUGUAUAUGGUUUUAGACCUUUACUGUGAGAAAAUUAGAGUGUUCAAAGCAGGCAUUUGCUUGAAUAUAUUAGCAUGGAAUAAUCAUGUAUGAUUUUCAUGAUGUAUUUGAUUGGUUUGGUUCAUGAGAAUAAGAUUAAAAGGGACAGUUGGGGGUAUUCAUAUUCAAUAGUCAGAGGUGAAAUUCUCGGAUUUAUGGAAGAUGAACAAGUGCGAAAGCAUUUACCAAGGAUGUUUUCAUUAAUCA
This 365-nucleotide ribosomal RNA is filed under the name Blastocystis sp. subtype 3. Its description in RNAcentral is "SSU rRNA". It matches the Rfam family "Eukaryotic small subunit ribosomal RNA", at positions 608 to 979 of the family's 1831-position model. Lineage: Eukaryota; Bigyra; Opalinata; Blastocystidae. The record is from RNAcentral.